Molecule: long non-coding RNA, 894 nt
Organism: Rosa chinensis
Lineage: Eukaryota; Viridiplantae; Streptophyta; Magnoliopsida; Rosales; Rosaceae
Exons: 3
Source: RefSeq, a predicted model, not a curated record
AUAUAAAUUAAUUCUGUUGUCUGAAUAGCAUGAGAAUCCAUACUAUUUCAGUUUUUUCAUCUUUUUUGUAAGUUGAAAAAUUCAGACAACAGAUAACAGUCGUUUGAAAAAACUGAUAAAUUCUCAUUAAAGGUUGAAAAUUAGGACAACAUUUAUAUGUUGUCUGAGUAGACAAAAAAAUAAUUUCCCCCAGUCUGACCAAAAAUAAAUUUUUGGCACAACUACACUUAUCCAUCCUUUUUUCCCUAAGACCCCGUGUUUUUCCCACACUUAACUGAAAUUUUCAUAAACUCAGCUUUCUUCCAUCGCGCCUAGAUCUCUCGACCUAGAGGUUCAUUCCAUAGAAACUCAAAUCGAUUCAUUCAUGUCUCAAUCGACCUAGAGGUACUUCCUGAGCUGGGUUUUUGGAGAGAGAAGAGUUUUAUCAACCUCUCUCCGAGCUUGUGGCUCUCGUCGCUGUUGGUGGAGUUCUUCAACUUGAAGAAGGAAUGAGCCCAAAGAAUUCAUUCACUGUUGUUCAUUAUACACUCUUAGUGGGCUCUCUCCCUCGGUUGCGAAUCGCUUUAAUCUUCAACCUCCAGGUCUCUCUCUCCCUCUCUCUUGUAAGUUCUUCGUACUGCAGGACAAGAUUCAAUUCUUCAAAUUUUCUGAUUGAACAAAAAAGAAAUUGGGUUUUUUGAUAUUGAUGUUUGAUUGGGUUUUGAUUGGCACCCGUACAACCACCACCGUCUUUGGAGGCAACAGUUGACCAAUUUUUUCAAAACCCAAGCAGAGUUGCUUGGGACUUCGAGGAAAACAUUGAAGACAGACAUUGUGAACUUCCUGGAAGGCUUUAAUUUGACUCUGGAAGAUGUUAAAGUUCAGUACAAUGGGCCUUUUGUGUUGUCUAGAUUG